AUGCAAAUAACCAUGCAAUUAUACACAGUACACACACAUAUAUCAUGUAGACACAAACUUUUAUUUUGGAUGCGAUUAAUCGAGAUUAAUCUUUUCCCAGCCCUACGCUUAGAUAAAGAUUUUUCGUUGUUGUACUAUGGCAUGCGGUCAUUUUCAAGAGGUUCGGCCAAGGGCGACAUCUGUUGGUGAAACUGCAAUUAGAAAAAAAAAAACACAAUCUCAGUGUUUGUAUAUUUUCAUAUUCACAGAGUUGUCAAAUUAUUAGGGCUGGGAAAAGAUUAAUCUCGAUUAAUCGCAUCCAAAAUAAAAGUUUGUGUCUACAUGAUAUAUGUGUGUGUACUGUGUAUAAUUGCAUGGUUAUUUGCAUUUUAAAAUGUUCACUUUAAAAUUCAUACUUCAUAAAAAUUCAUACACUUAUACUGUUAUUUGCACUAAACUUUUUUUGCACUUUUAACUUUCUGUGUUUACAUUGUUCAGUUCCAAUUAUUCAUUUGCAGCAGUUAUUUUGGAAGUAAAGAGAACCUAACUAAGAAAUUCUGAAUGGUAGUUAUUUCUUUGGUUGGUGGGUGGGUGGUUGGUUGGGGGGGGGGGGGCACCGCCAAGCAUUUGUGCUUAGGGCACCCAAAUGGCUAGCGCCGGCCCUGUUAAAAACUUUUUACAUACAGAGAACAAGUCAUUCUGAGGAAACAUGAUAAGUUUCAUAAAUUUACAUACAGUAUCUCUAUGGAUAACAGAAAAAAAAAAAAAUAACUAUCAGACAUCAGAUCUCACUCUACCUCUGUGUGUGGGUGAGUGAGGGGGUGGGUGAGAGAGAGAGACUUUUAAACAUCUCUUUAUUCACCAGAAUUAUUAUUAUUAUUUUUUUUUUGCAAUACAGCUUAAGAAAUAUCUUAGGCCUUAUCCUUUUCUGUCAGUUUUAGGGACAAAAAGUCCUAGAACCAAUUAAUUUGUAGGGCACUGACAAAAUAAUUUUAUACAGUUAGGUUAAUAAUUAUUUUAUUUUUUUUACAACGUGUUGUACGUGUUUGUAUCUUUAGAUCUUUUUAUGUUGUAAAAAAAAAAACAUAAUCCAUCCAUCCAUGGCAGUUUAGAGUAUCCGGUCUUCUUGGAGUCUCUGGGAGGGGUGCUGGAAAGUGCUCCGACCGGGGACUCUGUUGUUUUACUAGGGGACUUCAAUGAUCACGUGGGCAGUGACAGUGACACCUGGAGGGGCGUGAUUGGGAGGAAUGGCCCCCCUGAUCUGAACCUGAGUGGUGUUCUGAUAUUUGACUUCUGUGCAAGUCACA
This is a long non-coding RNA of Cyprinus carpio carpio, 1286 nucleotides long. The record is from Ensembl. Lineage: Eukaryota; Metazoa; Chordata; Actinopteri; Cypriniformes; Cyprinidae.